This 72-nucleotide transfer RNA is filed under the name Dipodomys ordii (Ord's kangaroo rat). It matches the Rfam family "tRNA". Rfam says of the family: Transfer RNA (tRNA) molecules are approximately 80 nucleotides in length. Their secondary structure includes four short double-helical elements and three loops (D, anti-codon, and T loops). The record is from Rfam by way of RNAcentral. Lineage: Eukaryota; Metazoa; Chordata; Mammalia; Rodentia; Heteromyidae.
UGGGAAGUAGCUCAGUGAAAGAGUGUUUGUCUAGCAUACACAAUGCCCUGGGUUCCAUCCCCAGCAUUGCAG